GCUGGAGUUGUGCCAAACUACUCACCAUUACUCUGAGCAGAAGAGAACACGGAGUAGCCAUCAAUCUUUGAAGAGCAUGGCUAUUCAGCUACCUUCAGAGGGUGUACCGGGUCCUUCAUGUUCCCCUGCUGGAGGCCCAUAGUCCUACUACACCUCACCCCAAGAAAGGAGCAAUGAAGGUGGGUUCUCCAGGCCUGCCUACAAAGGCUGCACAGAAGGAGUCAAAAUCAGAGCUCAUCAGGCUGAGAUAAAAGGAGCUGUGGGGGCCUUAGCAGCUCAGUUCCUGGCUAGGACCAGAGGAGAAGAGAGUGGAGUGUUCCUCUGUUCUGGCCACAUGAGCUCAACUGGCUGCAUUCGCUUUAGCUGGAAGGGAGAGGACCUUAGCACUUUAACCCUAAGCUCCACUACAGUAGACAAAGUGCCACUGACCACCACCAUGUCAUGUUGGACCUCUGCUGAUCAAGAUUCAACUGCACUGUGCUUGAAACAUGUGUGGCCACCUGUUGUCCUGCGUACAUUACUGGUAGCAAUGCUUUCUACUGGGAGGCAGAGUCUGCUGCAAAACACUCAGAACUUAGAUGCCUGCAAAGCCAAGUUGAGUUUGUGUUGUUUGCAUUCAAGGUUUCUGCUUUCAAUUAACUCUUAAACAAUUUGAUUAUCACUUGGGUCUUUUACUGAUAAACGGCAUUCAUUCAGUGGAAUGUGCGAAUUAAUUCAUUUGCAUUCAGUGCUCUUAAUGGAGAAAGUGGGCUGAGUGACUCAUAUCUUAGUCCAACCGGACACGUGCAUCAUGCAUUCAGUUACAGCUCUGUGGUUGGGAGAUAGGUUUGCCAUUGCUGCUGCUAAGCAUAGGGGAAUAUCCUCCUUCAUGAAAGCUUUUCCUGACUCCCAUAAACAAAAUAAUAUGCUUCCUUUCUAGUCUUCUAGGAAGGAUUUCACUUCUUUUCUCCUCUGCCAAACAUUUGUUUAAUCAAGCUAAGCUUUUGCUGUUAUGUUCCUAAUUAAGUUAAUGAGUGAAAUGUGCGGCCUAAUUUGGCAACAGAAUAUCCUAUUGUACUAUUGACUCAUCAAUACUAAAAGUAGCAUCCUAUAAUGAUUCAGUUUUUCAAGCUUUGAGUUUAGAUCAAAAGCGAAUGACACCUUUCGAAGACAUUUCUAGUGCAUUCAUUAAAAACAUGAAAACAAUAAUAGUUUCCUUUGCUCUGCAAUAGACUGCAUGCUGGAAACCAACACCUCUUAUUUGCUUUACUUCAGUUUAAUUUAC
Long non-coding RNA from Mauremys reevesii (Reeves's turtle), 1264 nucleotides. RefSeq lists it as uncharacterized. The record is from RefSeq and is a predicted model, not a curated record. NCBI's taxonomy places the organism in Eukaryota, Metazoa, Chordata, Testudines, Geoemydidae. The transcript is spliced from 4 exons.